RNAcentral lists this transfer RNA (67 nucleotides) under Laimosemion gransabanae. RNAcentral describes it as "tRNA-Ile". It matches the Rfam family "tRNA". Rfam says of the family: Transfer RNA (tRNA) molecules are approximately 80 nucleotides in length. Their secondary structure includes four short double-helical elements and three loops (D, anti-codon, and T loops). The record is from RNAcentral. Lineage: Eukaryota; Metazoa; Chordata; Actinopteri; Cyprinodontiformes; Rivulidae.
GGAUUUGUGCCUGUGUAAGGAAUACUUUGAUAGAGUAAAUAUAAGGGUUCUAGCCCCUUCAACUCCU